UUAAGCGACUAAGCGUACACGGUGGAUGCCCUGGCAGUCAGAGGCGAUGAAGGACGUGCUAAUCUGCGAAAAGCGACGGCGAGGUGAUAUGAACCUUUGACCCGUCGAUGUCCGAAUGGGGAAACCCAGUGCAAUCCGUUGCACUAUCGUUAACUGAAUACAUAGGUUAACGAGGCGAACCGGGGGAACUGAAACAUCUAAGUACCCCGAGGAAAAGAAAUCAACCGAGAUUCCCCCAGUAGCGGCGAGCGAACGGGGAGCAGCCCGGAGUCUGAAUCAGCUUGUGUGUUAGUGGAAGCGUCUGGAAAGUCGCACGGUACAGGGUGACAGUCCCGUACACGAAAAUGCACAGGUUGUGAACUCGAAGAGUAGGGCGGGACACGUGGUAUCCUGUCUGAAUAUGGGGGGACCAUCCUCCAAGGCUAAAUACUCCUGACUGACCGAUAGUGAACCAGUACCGUGAGGGAAAGGCGAAAAGAACCCCGGCGAGGGGAGUGAAAAAGAACCUGAAACCGUGUACGUACAAGCAGUGGGAGCACCUUCGGGUGUGACUGCGUACCUUUUGUAUAAUGGGUCAGCGACUUAUAUUCUGUAGCAAGGUUAACCGUAUAGGGGAGCCGCAGGGAAACCGAGUCUUAACUGGGCGUUAAGUUGCAGGGUAUAGACCCGAAACCCGGUGAUCUAGCCAUGGGCAGGUUGAAGGUUGGGUAACACUAACUGGAGGACCGAACCGACUAAUGUUGAAAAAUUAGCGGAUGACCUGUGGCUGGGGGUGAAAGGCCAAUCAAACCGGGAGAUAGCUGGUUCUCCCCGAAAGCUAUUUAGGUAGCGCCUCGUGAAUUCAUCUUCGGGGGUAGAGCACUGUUUCGGCUAGGGGGCCAUCCCGGCUUACCAACCCGAUGCAAACUACGAAUACCGAAGAAUGUUAUCACGGGAGACACACGGCGGGUGCUAACGUCCGUCGUGAAGAGGGAAACAACCCAGACCGCCAGCUAAGGUCCCAAAGUCAUGGUUAAGUGGGAAACGAUGUGGGAAGGCACAGACAGCCAGGAUGUUGGCUUAGAAGCAGCCAUCAUUUAAAGAAAGCGUAAUAGCUCACUGGUCGAGUCGGCCUGCGCGGAAGAUGUAACGGGGCUAAACCAUGCACCGAAGCUGCGGCAGCGACACUAUGUGUUGUUGGGUAGGGGAGCGUUCUGUAAGCCGUUGAAGGUGUGCUGUGAGGCAUGCUGGAGGUAUCAGAAGUGCGAAUGCUGACAUAAGUAACGAUAAAGCGGGUGAAAAGCCCGCUCGCCGGAAGACCAAGGGUUCCUGUCCAACGUUAAUCGGGGCAGGGUGAGUCGACCCCUAAGGCGAGGCCGAAAGGCGUAGUCGAUGGGAAACAGGUUAAUAUUCCUGUACUUGGUGUUACUGCGAAGGGGGGACGGAGAAGGCUAUGUCAGCCGGGCGACGGUUGUCCCGGUUUAAGCGUGUAGGUGUGUGUUCCAGGCAAAUCCGGUUCACUUUAACACUGAGGCGUGAUGACGAGGCACUACGGUGCUGAAGUGAUAAAUGCCCUGCUUCCAGGAAAAGCCUCUAAGCAUCAGGUAACAUCAAAUCGUACCCCAAACCGACACAGGUGGUCAGGUAGAGAAUACCAAGGCGCUUGAGAGAACUCGGGUGAAGGAACUAGGCAAAAUGGUGCCGUAACUUCGGGAGAAGGCACGCUGAUAUGUAGGUGAAGCCCCUGCGGGCGGAGCUGAAAUCAGUCGAAGAUACCAGCUGGCUGCAACUGUUUAUUAAAAACACAGCACUGUGCAAACACGAAAGUGGACGUAUACGGUGUGACGCCUGCCCGGUGCCGGAAGGUUAAUUGAUGGGGUUAGCGGCAACGCGAAGCUCUUGAUCGAAGCCCCGGUAAACGGCGGCCGUAACUAUAACGGUCCUAAGGUAGCGAAAUUCCUUGUCGGGUAAGUUCCGACCUGCACGAAUGGCGUAAUGAUGGCCAGGCUGUCUCCACCCGAGACUCAGUGAAAUUGAACUCGCUGUGAAGAUGCAGUGUACCCGCGGCAAGACGGAAAGACCCCGUGAACCUUUACUAUAGCUUGACACUGAACACUGGUCCUUGAUGUGUAGGAUAGGUGGGAGGCUUUGAAGCGUGGACGCCAGUCUGCGUGGAGCCGUCCUUGAAAUACCACCCUUUAAUGGCUGGUGUUCUAACGUGGACCCGUGAUCCGGGUUGCGGACAGUGUCUGGUGGGUAGUUUGACUGGGGCGGUCUCCUCCCAAAGAGUAACGGAGGAGCACGAAGGUUAGCUAAUCCUGGUCGGACAUCAGGAGGUUAGUGCAAUGGCAUAAGCUAGCUUGACUGCGAGAGUGACGGCUCGAGCAGGUGCGAAAGCAGGUCAUAGUGAUCCGGUGGUUCUGAAUGGAAGGGCCAUCGCUCAACGGAUAAAAGGUACUCCGGGGAUAACAGGCUGAUACCGCCCAAGAGUUCAUAUCGACGGCGGUGUUUGGCACCUCGAUGUCGGCUCAUCACAUCCUGGGGCUGAAGUAGGUCCCAAGGGUAUGGCUGUUCGCCAUUUAAAGUGGUACGCGAGCUGGGUUUAGAACGUCGUGAGACAGUUCGGUCCCUAUCUGCCGUGGGCGCUGGAGAAUUGAGGGGGGCUGCUCCUAGUACGAGAGGACCGGAGUGGACGCAUCACUGGUGUUCGGGUUGUCAUGCCAAUGGCACUGCCCGGUAGCUAAAUGCGGAAGAGAUAAGUGCUGAAAGCAUCUAAGCACGAAACUUGCCCCGAGAUGAGUUCUCCCUGAGACUUUAAGUCUCCUGAAGGAACGUUGAAGACGACGACGUUGAUAGGCCGGGUGUGUAAGCGCAGCGAUGCGUUGAGCUAACCGGUACUAAUGAACCGUGAGGCUUAACCU
Molecule: ribosomal RNA, 2900 nt
Filed under: Enterobacter bugandensis
Lineage: Bacteria; Pseudomonadati; Pseudomonadota; Gammaproteobacteria; Enterobacterales; Enterobacteriaceae
Description: 23S ribosomal RNA
Rfam family: Bacterial large subunit ribosomal RNA
Source: RNAcentral